GGAUGUAGCUCAGUAGUAGAGCACUUGUCUAUCAUGCUCGAGGCCCUGGGUUCAAUUCCCAGCACCA
RNAcentral lists this transfer RNA (67 nucleotides) under Marmota monax (woodchuck). RNAcentral's name for it is "tRNA.Asp". It matches the Rfam family "tRNA", at positions 6 to 65 of the family's 71-position model. Rfam says of the family: Transfer RNA (tRNA) molecules are approximately 80 nucleotides in length. Their secondary structure includes four short double-helical elements and three loops (D, anti-codon, and T loops). Further hydrogen bonds mediate the characteristic L-shaped molecular structure. tRNAs have two regions of fundamental functional importance: the anti-codon, which is responsible for specific mRNA codon recognition, and the 3' end, to which the tRNAs corresponding amino acid is attached (by aminoacyl-tRNA synthetases). tRNAs cope with the degeneracy of the genetic code in two manners: having more than one tRNA (with a specific anti-codon) for a particular amino acid; and 'wobble' base-pairing, i.e. permitting non-standard base-pairing at the 3rd anti-codon position. Lineage: Eukaryota; Metazoa; Chordata; Mammalia; Rodentia; Sciuridae. The record is from RNAcentral.